Molecule: ribosomal RNA, 301 nt
Filed under: uncultured bacterium
Lineage: Bacteria
Description: partial 16S ribosomal RNA
Rfam family: Bacterial small subunit ribosomal RNA
Source: RNAcentral
CAGCAGCCGCGGGAAAACGAAGGGUGCAAGCGUUAAUCGGAAUUACUGGGCGUAAAGCGCACGUAGGCGGCUUGGUAAGUUAGAGGUGAAAGCCCGGAGCUCAACUCCGGAAUUGCCUUUAAGACUGCCGAGCUAGUAGGUGAGAGAGGUAAGUGGAAUUCCGAGUGUAGAGGUGAAAUUCGUAGAUAUUCGGAAGAACACCAGUGGCGAAGGCGGCUUACUGGCUCAUUCUAGACGCUGAGGUGCGAAAGCGUGGGGAGCAAACAGGAUUAGAUACCCCGGUAGUCCCUGUCUCUUAUAC